UCACCUAGACAUACAGUUGUAAGGUUUGAAAUUCAGAAUUACAAGUCCUCUCACAUUGUUCUUCUUUUUCAAGUACGUUUUGGUUACUGAGACCCUCGAAUUCCCAUAUGAAUUGUAGCAGCAGCUAGUCAGUUUCUGCAGAGGAGCCCGCAGGGAUUGUGAUCGAGACCACGUUGAAUAUACGGAUCGUUCUGGGGAGCACUGCCAUUCCAAGAGCACUGUCUUCUGAUCCAGCAAUGUGCGUGGUUUGUCUGUCCAGGUGCCCUCACCUCCAGUAGCAUCCAUCCAGACACCGGAACUGACACUGGCCGUGCUCAGAACUGCCUCAGCCCUGAAGACACAACUGACAAAUAGAAGGGGGCCACGCCCUGUUACAGCAGGUGCUCUCACUUUGUGGAUCCUUAUGUAACUGAGGGGUGUUAAUCAGGAUUGCCCGUUUUACAUUGUGUGGCGCUGCUGCGGUGUCUCCUAGUUACUUGUUUCUCUCGCUUUAUUCACUCAGGGGUAUAUCAUGGACGUCCUCCCACUCCAGACUCACCCGGCCCUUUCAGAUAGAUUGGAGGGGUCUCCUGAUGUGCGGGUGUCGUCUCUUGUCCACGGACACAUUUGGUGGGAGAUUGCUGUGGACAAGGCCCUGGACCUCGGCGAAACGCCGGCUCCCUCAGUGCCCGCAGCUCGCCUUGAUUUACCGCAUCAUUGUCUUGAUGGUGGACAGUUAAGUUUUCUCUAUUUUCCACUGUCAGAAAGAAUGUUUGAGUUGCAUCCUUCUUGUACAGACAUUCCUGUGAUCUUGUAUGUGUAUUACUUUAGUUAAGGCUUCUGGAAAUUUAGUCCCUGGAUGUGACAUUUACAUUCAUCACAGACUCCUUUCAAGUGACUAGAAAUUCCUUCUCCAUUGGGGAAUGAAAAAAUGCACAAUUACAUAUGUAACCAAUUCUCUAUCGCUGGAUAUGAUUUCACUUCAGUUUUUCUUCCCACCUUUGUAAACAGUGCUGUGUAAAUGCCCUGAUGGGUACAUCUUUUUGGACUGAUUUUUUUUUCCUAAAGGAAACGAUUCCUAGAAGUGGAGUUGAAUCAGUGUGUAUGUACGUUUUUCAGAGCUUACAAAUCCAUUGAUAUGUCAUCCUCUGAAAAAGUCGCUCAUGAUUUGUUCUCCCACAGAUGGACACUAGCUAGAAUAUCUUAAAAAUAUUUGCCAAUAUGAUAAGCAAAAGUGCUUUUUCAUUGUUUUUGUUUGCAUUUGAUGACCAGUGAAGUUUUGAGCAUUUUUCACUCAUUAGCCAUUUGACUUUUUUAAAAUGAAUGAUUCCUUUUGUCCUUUGCCCACAUUUAAGUGAGGGAGCUUCUUUUUGCUUUGUGACAGCUUUUUGUAUGUUAUGAAAAUUAACUUCGUGAAUUCAUCAACAUGUAUCACAGAGCUUUUUCUUGUCAUUUCUUU
Camelus dromedarius (Arabian camel) is the source of this 1438-nucleotide long non-coding RNA. RefSeq lists it as uncharacterized. NCBI's taxonomy places the organism in Eukaryota, Metazoa, Chordata, Mammalia, Artiodactyla, Camelidae. The transcript has 3 exons. The record is from RefSeq and is a predicted model, not a curated record.